Molecule: ribosomal RNA, 253 nt
Filed under: uncultured bacterium
Lineage: Bacteria
Description: partial 16S ribosomal RNA
Rfam family: Bacterial small subunit ribosomal RNA
Source: RNAcentral
UACGUAGGUGGCAAGCGUUGUCCGGAUUUACUGGGCGUAAAGAGCGCGCAGGCGGCUGGUCAAGUCCGAUGUGAAAUCUCCCGGCUUAACUGGGAAACUGCAUCGGAAACUGAUCGGCUUGAAGGUGGGAGAGGGUAGUGGAAUUCCCGGUGUAGUGGUGAAAUGCGUAGAUAUUCGGAAGAACACCAGUGGCGAAGGCGACUUACUGGACACAUAUUGACGCUGAGGUGCGAAAGCGUGGGGAGCAAACAGG